This is a regulatory RNA element of Limnobacter sp. MED105, 117 nucleotides long. It matches the Rfam family "ALIL pseudoknot". The record is from Rfam. NCBI's taxonomy places the organism in Bacteria, Pseudomonadati, Pseudomonadota, Betaproteobacteria, Burkholderiales, Burkholderiaceae.
CGCUUUUUUCGCCCAGGCGGAACUCGACCGCCUCAAAAAGAAAUGAGGCGCUUCAUCGAUGAACACCGCCAAACCUUUGGGGUCGAGUCAAUCUGUAAGUCCUUUCAGAUUGCCCCU